This 713-nucleotide ribosomal RNA is filed under the name uncultured bacterium. RNAcentral's name for it is "bacterial SSU rRNA". It matches the Rfam family "Bacterial small subunit ribosomal RNA", at positions 1 to 752 of the family's 1533-position model. The record is from RNAcentral.
AAUUCGAUUGAGUUUGAUCCUGGCUCAGGAUGAACGCUGGCGGUAUGCUUAACACAUGCAAGUCGAACGGGGAUCUUCGGAUUCUAGUGGCGGACGGGUGAGUAACGCGUGAGAAUCUGCCUUUAGGACGGGAACAACAACUGGAAACGGUUGCUAAAGCCCGAUGUGCCCUUCGGGGUGAAAAUAUUUAUAGCCUGAAGAUGAGCUCGCGUCCGAUUAGCUAGUUGGUGGAGUAAAGGUUUACCAAGGCGACGAUCGGUAACUGGUCUGAGAGGAUGACCAGUCACACUGGGACUGAGACACGGCCCAGACUCCUACGGGAGGCAGCAGUGGGGAAUUUUCCGCAAUGGGCGAAAGCCUGACGGAGCAAUACCGCGUGAGGGAGGAAGGCUCUUGGGUCGUAAACCUCUUUUAUCAGGGAAGAAAAAAAUGACGGUACCUGAUGAAUCAGCAUCGGCUAACUCCGUGCCAGCAGCCGCGGUAAUACGGAGGAUGCAAGCGUUAUCCGGAAUUAUUGGGCGUAAAGCGUCCGCAGGUGGUUUUGAAAGUUUGCUGUCAAAGCGCGGAGCUCAACUUCGUACCGGCAGUGAAAACUACGAGACUAGAGUUUGGUAGGGGUCACGGGAAUUCCCAGUGUAGCGGUGAAAUGCGUAGAGAUUGGGAAGAACACCAGCGGCGAAAGCGCGUGACUGGGCCUGAACUGACACUCAUGG